CACGGCCUAUCAGCUUGUUGGUGAGGUAAUGGCUCACCAAGGCGACGACGGGUAGCCGGCCUGAGAGGGUGACCGGCCACACUGGGACUGAGACACGGCCCAGACUCCUACGGGAGGCAGCAGUGGGGAAUAUUGCACAAUGGGCGCAAGCCUGAUGCAGCGACGCCGCGUGAGGGAUGACGGCCUUCGGGUUGUAAACCUCUUUCAGUAGGGAAGAAGCGAAAGUGACGGUACCUGCAGAAGAAGCGCCGGCUAACUGCGUGCCAGCAGCCGCGGUAAUACGUAGGGCGCAAGCGUUAUCCGGAAUUAUUGGGCGUAAAGAGCUCGUAGGCGGUUUGUCGCGUCUGCCGUGAAAGUCCGGGGCUCAACUCCGGAUCUGCGGUGGGUACGGGCAGGCUAGAGUGAUGUAGGGGAGACUGGAAUUCCUGGUGUAGCGGUGAAAUGCGCAGAUAUCAGGAGGAACACCGAUGGCGAAGGCAGGUCUCUGGGCAUUAACUGACGCUGAGGAGCGAAAGCAUGGGGAGCGAACAGGAUUAGAUACCCUGGUAGUCCAUGCCGUAAACGUUGGGCACUAGGUGUGGGGGACAUUCCACGUUUUCCGCGCCGUAGCUAACGCCUUAAGUGCCCCGCCUGGGGAGUACGG
This 643-nucleotide ribosomal RNA is filed under the name uncultured actinomycete. RNAcentral's name for it is "bacterial SSU rRNA". It matches the Rfam family "Bacterial small subunit ribosomal RNA", at positions 232 to 885 of the family's 1533-position model. Lineage: Bacteria; Bacillati; Actinomycetota; Actinomycetes; Actinomycetales. The record is from RNAcentral.